This 164-nucleotide long non-coding RNA is filed under the name Felis catus (domestic cat). RNAcentral's name for it is "lncRNA (ENSFCAG00000041706.2)". Lineage: Eukaryota; Metazoa; Chordata; Mammalia; Carnivora; Felidae. The record is from RNAcentral.
AAUCCUUCUGCUCCUAGGUGGCAGCUCUGGGACCCGGCUCGCGGCAAGGCUAUGGGACAACGUGUGCCAAGAUGAGCCUCCAGAGGCCACCCAGGGAAAGGGACCGAUCGACUGCAGCUGUGGGAGAAGAUACUGCACCAACUAUGUGAUUUCUGGAUUCAGCU